AUGAAAACUGGAAAAUGGCACAAUACAAGAAACCUCACCGAGCCCAAACAUGGAAAUGAUUGACAGAUUGAGAGCUCCUUCAUGAUUCUGUGAACUGUGGUGCACAGCCAUUCUUAGUUGGUGGAGUGAUUGGUCUGGUUAAUUCUGAUAAUGAAUGAGACUUUGGCAUGCUUACUGGUUAUGCGACCCCUGAGUGGUUGGUGUCCAACUUGUUAGUGGAACAAGUGGCAUUCAGUCACUCAAGAUUUAGCAAUAACAGGCCUAUGAUACCAUUAGAUAUCCAUGAAUGCACACGUGCUACACUGACUGGUUCAGUGUGUGUCUAACCUAUACUGACAGGUGCCGGUAACCUGUUGAACUCCAUUCAUGAUGGGAAUCAGGGACUGCAAUUAUUCCCCAUGAACAAGGAAUUCCCUGCAAGUUUGGGUCAUAAGCUCCAGUUGAUUAAGUCC
This 452-nucleotide non-coding RNA is filed under the name Anolis carolinensis (green anole). RNAcentral describes it as "Eukaryotic small subunit ribosomal RNA". It matches the Rfam family "Eukaryotic small subunit ribosomal RNA", at positions 1176 to 1652 of the family's 1831-position model. Lineage: Eukaryota; Metazoa; Chordata; Lepidosauria; Squamata; Anolidae. The record is from Rfam by way of RNAcentral.